UGAUUUGAUGAAGAAAUGCCUUGUUACCCCACGAUUAUAGUCUUGUAUUAGGACCUUUAGAGGUCCAGAAGGUCCCAUGCAUGUGUACUUCGGGACGAGACCUAUCCCAGGAAGCAGUUACUCGUCUGCAUGGCAUGGACUCGCCGAGUUGUUCUUCAGACUCGGCGAGUAGCUUGAAGAUGUGCUGGGACUCGCCGAGUUGUUCAUCAGACUCGGCGAGUGGAGUCGGGGUGGCCCCGCGAUUCUUCCACGAGGACCUCGUCGAGUCAAGAGGUAUACUCGACGAGUAGAAAGGGAAUAUUCAGGAAUCUGUGAGGACGACUAGACUCGCCGAGUCGCCAUGGUACUCGCCGAGUCCAGUCGAGUUGACCGUUGACCGUUGACCAGAGUUGACCUAAGUCUGACUUCUUAGGGAUAGUCACACUUAGAUGAUAUGAGUGUUAAUGAGUUAUGUAAUGUUAUAGGAGGGUUGUAGCUCGUUGGUUUGUGCGCGAGUGAUUUCAGGAGUUGCUAGCUUUCAGCACUUACGAGGUGAGUCUUCUCACUAUACUGUACCCGGAAGGGUUUGACUGUGUGACCGGAAGGUCAAGUAUGUUAUGUAUUAUGUUUAUAUGCUAUAAGUGGUAAGUUAAGUGUUAUAUGGAUAUGUAUGCUAUAAGUGGUAAGUUAAGUGUUAUAUGGAUAUGUAUGCUAUAUGUGGUAAGUUAAGUGUUAUAUGUGCUAUGUAUGAUAUGUGGGCCGGAAGGCAAUAUGUUAUGGGCCGGAAGGCGAUUAUGUUAUGGGCCGGAAGGCGUUGUAAUGAGGACCGGAAGGUCAGGGCCUGGAAAGGCGUAUGUGCGUAAGUGUAUAUUGGGGAACUCACUAAGCAUUUAUGCUUACAGUUGUUGUGCAUGUAUUUCAGGUACUAGCGAGGACCGUGGGAAGGCGCCGGCAUGAUCGAUACACACUGAAGAUUGUUUUAUGAUCUUGGGAGUUUGAAUAAUUGUAUUGACCGAAUAAUUAAACUGUUUAUGCCUUGUUUUUAAUGGAAAUAAUUAUGUUUUAAAAAUGAAAAAUUUGUUUGAAAAAUUUGAGUUGUUACAAUUGGUAUCAGAGCCUUGGUUUGAGGGAUUCGGGUGCACCUUCGGGGGUAACUGAACUCAAACCGAGGAUUUGAGGAAACUUUUCAAAUAAAGGCAUAAACUUUUGUAAAUGGUUUUGUGGUAAGCAAGAAAGAAGCAGUGUGUACGAUCAGUCAGCGCCCGAACGGUAAAGAUCCCCAAAAUACCUUACAAUAUUAUAUGAUAUGAAUUGUUAUGCAUGCUAGAAGACUAGGUAUUCAUGAUAGGACUAGAGUGGCCUGAUUUGUGAUGCCUUAGUCUAGGGAAGUUGCUUAUAUGAGAUGCUUUGCUAGUAUGCGGGUAGAUAGAGCGUAUCAGAAGUAGAGUACUCACUAUCUGGAGUUUGGGGAGGAGGACUUGGGAUGAACAUUGAUGCGGUGUGGUCGGUAGUAUUGGGCCCGUACUACCGAGGACACCGGGUCAGUGGGAGGCCCAAGUAAGAAUCCCUGGAUAUCUGGGACUGAGUAGGGUUGCGUGUCGAGUACGAUUAUACUCGGUAGAAUCUCUGAUAGUUUUAUGUUGUAUUUCAGAGAUAUCAUGGUUAGACCGCGGCACGGGGCAAGUUCGAGCGGUAUGAGUGACGAGGAUAUUCGUCAGAUGAUCCACGAGGAGGUGGCGGCGGCGAUCCGGGCUGAGAUCCCGGAGAUGUUUGGGUCUAUCAAGACCACCCUGAUGGAGACGUUCGACGAGCGGUACGCCGCAUUGACUGAGGCUGCAACCGCUGCAGCUACCGCAGCUGUGGCCGCUGCUAGGCCACAGGGGGGUGAUUCAUUGCUGUUCCGAGAGUUCAGCAACACGAAGCCACCAGAGUUCGAUGGGACGCAGGAUCCGAUUGCUGCGAUGAGGUGGAUCGCAGAUAUAGAGGGGUGCUUCUAUACUUGUUCAUGCCCGGAGCACCUGAGGGUACGGUUCGCUUUGAACCAGCUCCGUCUGGGAGCGAAGGACUGGUGGAAGUUCGUGACAGCGAAUUUCACUUUGGCAGAGACUACAGCGGUGACAUGGGAGGGGUUUACUGCCAUGUUCAGGGAUGAGUACGUUCCCCCGGUGGAGAGGGAACGAUUGGUGCAGGAGUUCUUAACCCUCAAGCAGGGUACCGAUUCUGUUGCGGUGAUUACACGGAAGUUUCAUGAGAGGGCGAUGUUUUGCCCUGAGCUGGUGUCCUCAGAGCAGGCUCGGAUGAGCCGAUACUUGGGUGUCUUGAGGAGGGAUAUUCGGGAGUUUGUGUCAAACUCCACUUACCAUACUUUUGCUGAGCUUCAGGCGAAUGCCAGGAAGCGCGAGAUCGAGUUGGAGACCCAGGCUAGGGAGGAGGCCGAGUCUCAGCGGGUGGAUCGGCGACCGGCUCAGUUCCAGCCGGCAGCCAAGCGGACCAAGUCCGCUGAUUCGAGGACAGGAGGUUCGAAGGGUCGCACUUGCGGGAAGUGCGGCAAGAGUCAUGAUGGAGUAUGUCGAUCUGGUGCUUGCUACAAGUGUGGCAAGGAGGGGCACAUUGCUAGGGAGUGCCCCAAGGGAUUUUCGGUUUGCUUUCAUUGCAACCAGACUGGCCAUAGGAAGGCCGAGUGCCCUCAGCUUCUUCAGGGAUCUGCACCUGCUGCCGGAGUUACUGCGACUCGACCGGUGAAGGCCGAGGCCCCGAGGGCUCGGGGAAGAGCCUUUCAGCUGACAGCGGAAGAGGUCCGCGCUGCGCCCGAUGUUGUGGCAGGUAUGUUGUAAUUCAUGUAAUUAUUUUAAUGUCGAUAUGUUAUGCUUAUGUUAUUAUGCGCGUAGGUACUUUCCUUGUGAACUCUGUGCCUGCCUUAGUGUUAUUUGACUCGGGUGCGAGUAGGUCCUUUGUGUCCUUGGCCUUUAGUCAGCAUAUUGGCGUUAGUCGUGAGUCGUUGAGUCGACCUUUGAGAGUCUCUAUAGCUGACGAGAAGGUGAUUUGUGCUACGGAGGUUCUUCGGGGAUGUGUACUAGAGAUUUUCGGGGUUGGAUUCCCGAUUGACCUGAUUCCUAUCGCGAUGGGGGAUGUCUGUGUCAUCGUGGGCAUGGACUGGUUGAGCCGGUUCGGCGCUGUCAUCGACUGUGAGCGUCAGUUGGUGACUAUACGAGACCCUAGAGGGGGAGUUCUUUCGGUAUACGGCGAGGGUACCCGUUCGGGAUCAGCUUUUUGUUCGGCCGCUAGGGCGAGGCAGUGUCUACGUCAGGGCUGUAAGGGUUUCGUGGCGUAUGUGAUGGAUACGCGGGAGGUUUCUGAGAAACCGAAGUCAGUUGAGGAAGUUCCGGUGGUGCGCGAGUUUUCAGAUGUCUUUCCCGAGGAGUUGCCGGGAGUACCGCCUGUGAGGCAAGUAGAGUUUAGUAUCGAUCUGGUUCCGGGGGCAGCGCCUAUUGCUAAAGUGCCCUAUCGUCUUGCACCUCCAGAGAUGCAAGAGUUGUCCUCGCAACUCCAGGAGUUGCUGGGAAAGGGAUUCAUUCGGCCGAGCAGCUCGCCAUGGGGAGCACCUAUUCUGUUCGUCAAGAAGAAGGAUGGUUCACACCGGAUGUGCAUUGAUUACCGGGAGUUGAACAAGCUAACGGUCAAGAACCGUUACCCGUUGCCGAGGAUCGAUGAUUUAUUCGAUCAGUUGCAGGGAGCAUCUUGGUUUUCCAAGAUCGAUCUGAGGUCAGGAUACCAUCAGGUGAGAGUACGGGAUGAAGACGUCCAGAAGACAGCGUUUAGGACGCGAUAUGGGCAUUAUGAGUUUGUGGUGAUGCCUUUUGGACUCACCAAUGCCCCGGCUGUGUUCAUGGAUCUCAUGAACAGGGUAUGCAGGCCGAUGUUGGAUCGGUCAGUGAUUGUAUUUAUCGACGACAUUCUGGUGUAUUCGAGAUCUAGAGAGCAGCAUGAGGAGCAUUUGAGGGAGGUCCUUGAGGUAUUGAGGUCGGAGAAGCUUUAUGCAAAGUUCUCCAAAUGUGACUUCUGGUUGCGGGAGGUCCAGUUUCUAGGACAUGUGGUUAAUCAGAAAGGGAUAUUGGUCGAUCCGGCCAAGGUUGAGGCGGUGAUGAGUUGGGAGGUGCCGAAGUCACCCUCUGAGAUCAGAAGUUUCCUUGGGUUGGCAGGGUAUUAUCGGAGAUUUAUCAAGGAUUUCUCCAAGAUCGCAGUGCCACUCACCAGAUUGACCCGGAAGGGUGUUACGUUCUCAUGGGGGCCCGAGCAGCAGACCUCCUUUGAGACACUUCGCCAAAGAUUGUGCGAAGCCCCGGUAUUAGCUCUUCCAGAAGGGAUGGAAGAUUUCGUGGUAUAUUGCGACGCAUCGAUUUCGGGAUUGGGUGCAGUGUUAAUGCAGAGGGGUCAUGUGAUAGCUUAUGCGUCGAGGCAGCUGAAGCCUCAUGAGGCGAGAUAUCCCACGCAUGAUUUAGAGUUGGGGGCAGUAGUGUUCGCUCUCAAGAUUUGGCGUCACUACUUGUAUGGGGUUCGAUGUACGAUAUACACGGACCAUAAGAGUUUGAAGUAUUUGAUGGAUCAACCCAACCUAAAUAUGCGUCAGAGGAGGUGGUUGGAUGUGGUCAAGGAUUAUGAUUGUGAGAUCCUGUACCACCCAGGCAAGGCUAAUGUGGUAGCCGAUGCAUUGAGUCGCAGGGCGGAGAGCACUCCAUUGCGAGACGUAUGCUUGAGACUGACUGUGAUGACUCCAGUAUUGGACGCCAUUCGUGGGGCCCAGGCUGAGGCUGUGCGACCAGAAAUGCAGAAGAAAGAGCGGGUUGUGGGGUUAAUCUCAGAGUUUGUCAAGGAUAGUCGAGGCCUUAUGACGUUUCAGGGUCGGAUUUGGGUGCCGUUCGUGGGCGGUACGCGUAUUACGUUGAUGGAAGAGGCUCAUAGAUCGAAAUUCUCGAUCCAUCCCGGUGCUACAAAGAUGUAUUUGGAUUUAAGGAAGGAAUAUUGGUGGCCCUGUAUGAAGAGGGACGUGGCAUGGUUCGUUGAGAGGUGCUUGACCUGCCGUAGGGUUAAGGCUGAGCACCAGAGACCGCAUGGCAAGUUACAGCCAUUGGAGAUCCCCGAGUGGAAGUGGGAACAGAUUACUAUGGAUUUUAUCACCAAAUUGCCGAGGACUGCUAGGGGAGUUGACGCAAUUUGGGUGAUCGUGGAUAGGUUGACAAAGAGUGCACACUUCCUUGCCAUCAGUGAGAGUUCUUCGGCGGAGAAAUUGGCGGAGAUAUACGUGAGAGAGGUGGUAUCUCGGCACGGGGUGCCGAUCUCGAUUGUGUCAGACCGUGAUGUGCGCUUCACUUCCAGAUUCUGGAAGAAAUUCCAUGAGGAGCUGGGUACUAAAUUGCAUUUUAGUACCGCAUACCAUCCCCAGACAGACGGUCAGAGCGAGCGGACAAUUCAGACACUGGAGGACAUGCUCCGAGCGUGUGUGUUAGACUUCGGGGGUAGUUGGGAUGCGUAUUUACCAUUGGCAGAGUUUUCCUACAACAACAGCCAUCAUUCGAGCAUUGGUAUGCCGCCUUUCGAGCUGUUGUAUGGUAGGAGGUGUCGGACUCCCAUUUGCUGGGGAGAGGUGGGACAGAGAGUGAUGGGCAGCACGGAGAUCAUACUCCAGACGACAGAGCAGAUUCAACAAGUGAGACAAAGAUUAUUGACUGCCCAGAGCCGACAGAAGAGUUACGCAGACAGACGCCGAUCCGAGCUUGAAUUUCAAGUCGGCGACUUCGUUCUCCUGAAGGUCUCUCCUUGGAAAGGAGUGAUUCGAUUCAGGAAGAGGGGCAAAUUGGGGCCCCGGUAUAUUGGGCCAUUUCGUGUGAUUGCAAGAGUAGGCCGGGUAGCCUAUCGGUUGGAGUUGCCAGCGGAGUUGGGUCAGAUCCAUGACACUUUUCAUGUAUCGCAGUUGAGGAAGUGCAUAGCCGAUGAGUCGGCAGUGGUUCCAUUGGAGGAUAUUCAGGUGGAUGCGAGCCUGAAUUACGCGGAGAGACCAGUGGCUAUCAGGGGUCGGAAGAUCAAGGUUCUGAGGAAUAAGGAAGUACCUCUGGUGUUGGUUCAAUGGCAACACCGUAAGGGAUCAGAAAUGACUUGGGAACCGGAGCGUGAAAUGCGGGAGCAGCAUCCGGAACUAUUUGCAGAAUGAGACUUCGAGGGCGAAGUCUAAUCCAAGUGGGGGAGAAUUGUAACAGCCCGGAACCUCAGGUAUUAUUAAAAUUAUGUUUUUGGGGUGAUUUAAGAGGGGACUCGGCGAGUUGGAGCCUAGACUCGCCGAGUAGGAUCGCGGACUUGGUCGCGGGUCCGCGACUGGACUCGACGAGUCCAGAUAUGGACUCGGCGAGUCGACGCUGUUCAGCAGAAACCCUAACCGUUCAAGGUUGGGACGUAUAAAAGGGGUCCAUUGGCCGUCAUUGUUCGUUUUGCCUUCUGAGAGGAACCCUAAAUCGAUUAAGUGCAGCAGGAGCAAGGAUCUUAGGCCAUUAUUGGUUAGAGAAGAGUGGGUGUGCAAGGAAGAGGGAGGAUUGGCUAAAAGAGCAGCAAGGGGGUCACAUUCUGAGGUUGGGAAUACAGAGAACACAUCAUCCAGGUAAGAAUUCGUGUUUGCUCUGUUAUUUUGAUGUAAUUAUGAAAUUAGGGUUUAUAGAACCCAUUUAGUGAUUUGAUGAAGAAAUGCCUUGUUACCCCACGAUUAUAGUCUUGUAUUAGGACCUUUAGAGGUCCAGAAGGUCCCAUGCAUGUGUACUUCGGGACGAGACCUAUCCCAGGAAGCAGUUACUCGUCUGCAUGGCAUGGACUCGCCGAGUUGUUCUUCAGACUCGGCGAGUAGCUUGAAGAUGUGCUGGGACUCGCCGAGUUGUUCAUCAGACUCGGCGAGUGGAGUCGGGGUGGCCCCGCGAUUCUUCCACGAGGACCUCGUCGAGUCAAGAGGUAUACUCGACGAGUAGAAAGGGAAUAUUCAGGAAUCUGUGAGGACGACUAGACUCGCCGAGUCGCCUUGGUACUCGCCGAGUCCAGUCGGGUUGACCGUUGACCAGAGUUGACCUAAGUCUGACUUCUUAGGGAUAGUCACAUUUAGCUGAUAUGAGUGUUAAUGAGUUAUGUAAUGUGAUAGGAGGGUUGUAGCUCGUCGGUUUGUGCACGAGUGAUUUCAGGAGUUGCUAGCUUUCAGCACUUACGAGGUGAGUCUUCUCACUAUACUGUACCCGGAAGGGUUUGACUGUGUGAUCGGAAGGUCAAGUAUGUUAUGUAUUAUGUUUAUGUGCUAUAAGUGGUAAGUUAAGUGUUAUAUGGAUAUGUAUGCUAUAAGUGGUAAGUUAAGUGUUAUAUGGAUAUGUAUGCUGUAUGUGGUAAGCUAAGUGUGAUAUGUGCUAUGUAUGAUAUGUGGGCCGGAAGGCAAUAUGUUAUGAGCCGGAAGGCGAUUAUGUUAUGGGCCGGAAGGCGUUGUAAUGAGGACCAGAAGGUCAGGGCCUGGAAAGGCGUAUGUGUGUAAGUGUAUAUUGGGGAACUCACUAAGCAUUUAUGCUUACAGUUGUUGUGUAUGUAUGUAUUUCAGGUACUACUAGCGAGGACCGUGGGAAGGCGCCGGCAUGAUCGAUACACACUGAAGAUUGUUUAGGAUCUUGGGAGUUUGAAUAAAUGUAUUGACCGAAUAAUUAAACUAUUUAUGCCUUGUUUUAAUGGAAAAUAUUAUGUUUUAAAAAUGAAAAAUUUGUUUGAAAAAUUUGAGUUGUUACAA
This 7774-nucleotide long non-coding RNA is filed under the name Lactuca sativa (garden lettuce). RNAcentral's name for it is "long non-coding RNA (LSAT_LNC001241)". The record is from RNAcentral. Lineage: Eukaryota; Viridiplantae; Streptophyta; Magnoliopsida; Asterales; Asteraceae.